CGGUAAGGUGAUAUGAACCGUUAUAACCGGCGAUUUCCGAAUGGGGAAACCCAGUGUGAUUCGUCACACUAUCAUUAACUGAAUCCAUAGGUUAAUGAGGCGAACCGGGGGAACUGAAACAUCUAAGUACCCCGAGGAAAAGAAAUCAACCGAGAUUCCCCCAGUAGCGGCGAGCGAACGGGGAGCAGCCCAGAGCCUGAAUCAGUGUGUGUGUUAGUGGAAGCGUCUGGAAAGGCGUGCGAUACAGGGUGACAGCCCCGUACACAAAAAUGCACAUACUGUGAGCUCGAUGAGUAGGGCGGGACACGUGGUAUCCUGUCUGAAUAUGGGGGGACCAUCCUCCAAGGCUAAAUACUCCUGACUGACCGAUAGUGAACCAGUACCGUGAGGGAAAGGCGAAAAGAACCCCGGCGAGGGGAGUGAAAAAGAACCUGAAACCGUGUACGUACAAGCAGUGGGAGCACGCUUAGGCGUGUGACUGCGUACCUUUUGUAUAAUGGGUCAGCGACUUAUAUUCUGUAGCAAGGUUAACCGAAUAGGGGAGCCGAAGGGAAACCGAGUCUUAACUGGGCGUUAAGUUGCAGGGUAUAGACCCGAAACCCGGUGAUCUAGCCAUGGGCAGGUUGAAGGUUGGGUAACACUAACUGGAGGACCGAACCGACUAAUGUUGAAAAAUUAGCGGAUGACUUGUGGCUGGGGGUGAAAGGCCAAUCAAACCGGGAGAUAGCUGGUUCUCCCCGAAAGCUAUUUAGGUAGCGCCUCGUGAAUUCAUCUCCGGGGGUAGAGCACUGUUUCGGCAAGGGGGUCAUCCCGACUUACCAACCCGAUGCAAACUGCGAAUACCGGAGAAUGUUAUUACGGGAGACACACGGCGGGUGCUAACGUCCGUCGUGAAGAGGGAAACAACCCAGACCGCCAGCUAAGGUCCCAAAGUCAUGGUUAAGUGGGAAACGAUGUGGGAAGGCCCAGACAGCCAGGAUGUUGGCUUAGAAGCAGCCAUCAUUUAAAGAAAGCGUAAUAGCUCACUGGUCGAGUCGGCCUGCGCGGAAGAUGUAACGGGGCUAAACCAUGCACCGAAGCUGCGGCAGCGACGCUUAUGCGUUGUUGGGUAGGGGAGCGUUCUGUAAGCCUGUGAAGGUGUGCUGUGAGGUAUGCUGGAGGUAUCAGAAGUGCGAAUGCUGACAUAAGUAACGAUAAAGCGGGUGAAAAGCCCGCUCGCCGGAAGACCAAGGGUUCCUGUCCAACGUUAAUCGGGGCAGGGUGAGUCGACCCCUAAGGCGAGGCCGAAAGGCGUAGUCGAUGGGAAACAGGUUAAUAUUCCUGUACUUGGUGUUACUGCGAAGGGGGGACGGAGAAGGCUAUGUUGGCCGGGCGACGGUUGUCCCGGUUUAAGCGUGUAGGCUGGUUUUCCAGGCAAAUCCGGAAAAUCAAGGCCGAGGCGUGAUGACGAGGCACUACGGUGCUGAAGCAACAAAUGCCCUGCUUCCAGGAAAAGCCUCUAAGCAUCAGGUAACAUCAAAUCGUACCCCAAACCGACACAGGUGGUCAGGUAGAGAAUACCAAGGCGCUUGAGAGAACUCGGGUGAAGGAACUAGGCAAAAUGGUGCCGUAACUUCGGGAGAAGGCACGCUGAUACGUAGGUGAAGCGACUUGCUCGUGGAGCUGAAAUCAGUCGAAGAUACCAGCUGGCUGCAACUGUUUAUUAAAAACACAGCACUGUGCAAACACGAAAGUGGACGUAUACGGUGUGACGCCUGCCCGGUGCCGGAAGGUUAAUUGAUGGGGUUAGCGCAAGCGAAGCUCUUGAUCGAAGCCCCGGUAAACGGCGGCCGUAACUAUAACGGUCCUAAGGUAGCGAAAUUCCUUGUCGGGUAAGUUCCGACCUGCACGAAUGGCGUAAUGAUGGCCAGGCUGUCUCCACCCGAGACUCAGUGAAAUUGAACUCGCUGUGAAGAUGCAGUGUACCCGCGGCAAGACGGAAAGACCCCGUGAACCUUUACUAUAGCUUGACACUGAACAUUGAGCCUUGAUGUGUAGGAUAGGUGGGAGGCUUUGAAGUGUGGACGCCAGUCUGCAUGGAGCCGACCUUGAAAUACCACCCUUUAAUGUUUGAUGUUCUAACGUGGACCCGUGAUCCGGGUUGCGGACAGUGUCUGGUGGGUAGUUUGACUGGGGCGGUCUCCUCCUAAAGAGUAACGGAGGAGCACGAAGGUUGGCUAAUCCUGGUCGGACAUCAGGAGGUUAGUGCAAUGGCAUAAGCCAGCUUGACUGCGAGCGUGACGGCGCGAGCAGGUGCGAAAGCAGGUCAUAGUGAUCCGGUGGUUCUGAAUGGAAGGGCCAUCGCUCAACGGAUAAAAGGUACUCCGGGGAUAACAGGCUGAUACCGCCCAAGAGUUCAUAUCGACGGCGGUGUUUGGCACCUCGAUGUCGGCUCAUCACAUCCUGGGGCUGAAGUAGGUCCCAAGGGUAUGGCUGUUCGCCAUUUAAAGUGGUACGCGAGCUGGGUUUAGAACGUCGUGAGACAGUUCGGUCCCUAUCUGCCGUGGGCGCUGGAGAACUGAGGGGGGCUGCUCCUAGUACGAGAGGACCGGAGUGGACGCAUCACUGGUGUUCGGGUUGUCAUGCCAAUGGCACUGCCCGGUAGCUAAAUGCGGAAGAGAUAAGUGCUGAAAGCAUCUAAGCACGAAACUUGCCCCGAGAUGAGUUCUCCCUGACCCUUUAAGGGUCCUGAAGGAACGUUGAAGACGACGACGUUGAUAGGCCGGGUGUGUAAGCGCAGCGAUGCGUUGAGCUAACCGGUACUAAUGAACCGUGAGGCUUAACCUUACAACGCCGAAG
RNAcentral lists this ribosomal RNA (2838 nucleotides) under Shigella flexneri. RNAcentral's name for it is "partial 23S ribosomal RNA". It matches the Rfam family "Bacterial large subunit ribosomal RNA". Lineage: Bacteria; Pseudomonadati; Pseudomonadota; Gammaproteobacteria; Enterobacterales; Enterobacteriaceae. The record is from RNAcentral.